UGCACCUGGUGGCGAGUGGCGAACGGGUGAGUAAUACAUCGGAACGUACCUUAUCGUGGGGGAUAACGCAGCGAAAGCUGUGCUAAUACCGCAUACGCCCUGAGGGGGAAAGCGGGGGAUCGAAAGACCUCGCGCGAUUAGAGCGGCCGAUGCCUGAUUAGCUUGUUGGUGGGGUAAAAGCCCACCAAGGCGACGAUCAGUAGCUGGUCUGAGAGGACGAUCAGCCACACUGGGACUGAGACACGGCCCAGACUCCUACGGGAGGCAGCAGUGGGGAAUUUUGGACAAUGGGGGAAACCCUGAUCCAGCAAUGCCGCGUGAGUGAAGAAGGCCUUCGGGUUGUAAAGCUCUUUUGUCAGGGAAGAAACACCGGCUCUAACACAGUCCGGGAAUGACGGUACCUGAAGAAUAAGCACCGGCUAACUACGUGCCAGCAGCCGCGGUAAUACGUAGGGUGCGAGCGUUAAUCGGAAUUACUGGGCGUAAAGCGUGCGCAGGCGGUUAUACAAGACAGGCGUGAAAUCCCCGGGCUUAACCUGGGAAUGGCGCCUGUGACUGUAUAGCUAGAGUGUGUCAGAGGGGGGUAGAAUUCCACGUGUAGCAGUGAAAUGCGUAGAUAUGUGGAGGAAUACCAAUGGCGAAGGCAGCCCCCUGGGAUAACACUGACGCUCAUGCACGAAAGCGUGGGGAGCAAACAGGA
Molecule: ribosomal RNA, 700 nt
Filed under: uncultured beta proteobacterium
Lineage: Bacteria; Pseudomonadati; Pseudomonadota; Betaproteobacteria
Description: bacterial SSU rRNA
Rfam family: Bacterial small subunit ribosomal RNA
Source: RNAcentral